CAAAUCUCCUUUGAGUGGAGCUCUGCCCUCCUGGCCCCAUCAGAGGAGGAUCCUGACCUCUGGCCACUGACUGUGUACAUGCCGCAGAAACACCACAGAGUCUGGGAGCAUAUCUGGAGGUGCUGACUUUGGGGUAAAAAGUCUCAUUCAGCUCUGCAACAGAAGCCUGGAAAAUGGUGUUUUGGACGCUGGGUGAGAAGCUCUAAACCAGAUUUGCCCAUUUAGAAAAUCAUUUCUAAUCUGGGGCUACUGAUGAGGAAGACCAAAUGCCACCAAACAGAGGCAUUUGAAAGGAGGGGUACAGAAGAGGUGGCCACGCUCUUUGAACAGGAGCAGUGCAACUGUCCAGGAGCAGAUCCAGAUGCUGCUUCUGUGCUGAACCAACACAUGGCAGGAGCCUUCCAGACAUGUGCCCCAGGGUCUGCAUGAGGAAAACUCUCUUGCAUACCACUGAGAAGAGUCACCCCAGCACUUGUGUCCCCACUGCAGAGGCAUUACGUGAGACAGCCACCACAGAUGCAAGACACAAAUGUUGCCCCAGUGCAAUAUGUUCUAAACACACUCUGGGACGUGGGACACUCCGAUGAUCAAAAAACUUUCUGACAAAGGACUAUGGAAAAGAGAGUUUGACACAUUUGCCAUCCAGAACAGAAGAACAAGCUCAAGUCAGAUGCUGCGGCUUUCCUCCCUUCCCUGUUGUAUCACCCAGCUGGCAAAAACCACCCUGAGGAGAUAACUGCUCUGAUGGAUUGUGUCAUUUUUCAAACUACCUUAUUGGCAAACAGUCAGUAUGUUGGGCUACGUGUUGAAAUUACAGCUCACAAACUUCCUAAGUACUUUCCCCAUUAGGGAAGAAUCAGUCAAGUGACGAAGCAAUGAAUGAAGACAGGAUUGCUUUAAUCUCUGAAAACCAGAAACUUUUCCUUUAGAAGAGGAGUUGUUCAGAAGAACAAUGAAAGCUGUGGGUGACAGCACCUUGAAAAGGCCUGAACUUAUUCUGGCGUCUCUCCUCCUGGUUGUUUGAAUACUGCGCAGUCCCAAUUCAGGGAUGUCUUUCUCCAGGAGCUAUAAAAGCUUUUCUUUCCACUCAACUCACUUUCACAGGCCCACAGGUAAGAAUAAAGUACUUAAAACGAUGCGGACUACUUUACAUUUGAUGAAA
Molecule: long non-coding RNA, 1162 nt
Organism: Pezoporus flaviventris
Lineage: Eukaryota; Metazoa; Chordata; Aves; Psittaciformes; Psittacidae
Exons: 4
Source: RefSeq, a predicted model, not a curated record